UGGAAGUAGGCAUAGUUAAACAGGAGAGAGACCCUAAAAAUCUAAUAUUCUUCAAUCAAGGCACCAAAAACAGAUCUUGAAAGAUAAGAAAGAGGCGAUCUCGACAAUCUAAAUUGUUAUCUGAAAGGAGACGUGUCACCAUGUGUGGCGGAAAAGGGAACAUGUCCACAACUUCAAAAGGCACGUGAGAGUACAUACAACUCCGAGAAAAGUGUUGUUGAGAGCAAGAUGGUCGUCUAGCCGAGACAAUUAAAAUUGAAUGGUCACUAGCCAAAAUUGAUGCUUUGAUGAUGGUGACAGAUGGUGACAACGAUCACAAUGGGCAAUAUCGAUAAGAAAUUUUUCUCCUAAAAGAAUCUGACUCUAAAUAUUAUGUUACAUAUAGUAAAAUC
Molecule: long non-coding RNA, 392 nt
Filed under: Vigna radiata
Lineage: Eukaryota; Viridiplantae; Streptophyta; Magnoliopsida; Fabales; Fabaceae
Description: long non-coding RNA (VRAD_LNC013193)
Source: RNAcentral